CUUCUUAGAAAGCUACUUGCUUAGUUGGAUGACGCCCGUCGUUAGAUUAGUUAGUUGGUGGGGUAAAGGCCUACCAAGACCACGAUCUAUAGCUGGUUUGAGAGGAUGAUCAGCCACAUUGGGACUGAGACACGGCCCAGACUCCUACGGGAGGCAGCAGUGGGGAAUAUUGGACAAUGGGCGCAAGCCUGAUCCAGCAAUACCGCGUGUGUGAAGAAGGCCUUAGGGUUGUAAAGCACUUUUGUGUAGGAAGAAGGUAUGUUUGUUAAUAGCAGAUGUAUUUGACGGUACUACAAGAAUAAGCACCGGCUAACUCCGUG
RNAcentral lists this ribosomal RNA (320 nucleotides) under uncultured bacterium. Its description in RNAcentral is "bacterial SSU rRNA". It matches the Rfam family "Bacterial small subunit ribosomal RNA", at positions 196 to 507 of the family's 1533-position model. The record is from RNAcentral.